This is a non-coding RNA of Lolium perenne, 3689 nucleotides long. Lineage: Eukaryota; Viridiplantae; Streptophyta; Magnoliopsida; Poales; Poaceae. The record is from RefSeq and is a predicted model, not a curated record.
CGACUCCAUGGCGAGGGGCAGCUGCGCCAUCUGGGCUCCAGCAUGAUCUUGGUCGUGAUGGUGCACACGCGGGAGAACACAACGACCUUGACAUCUGUCGGCGUGUCUUCGACUCCGCGGGUGAGGGAAACGAUGCCAACCAUGAUGUCUAUCGAAUCUCACAAUCGGUAGUGAGCUGAACACCGCUGCACAACAAGGUUUCAUCGCCUCCAAUAUUCUUGCAGAAGCUAGGUUGGGACUAGCUAGAUUGGGACUGAUGGUGUGCUUGGUGAUAAAAGCAAUGCUCUGGCCGUUGUGUCCGGCAGCAGAGUCGGUGUCAAAGAACAAUAGCGGUAGUGGUGACAGAGGCCACAAGCUCACCGCUUGGCCUGUGAUUUACCUCUGCGGAUUCUUGCCUUGAGGUCUGAACCGCUUCUCCGAUUUAUCAUGUCCGAUUAAUGCCAGCCAUAUGGGAGGUUCACCCCAGGAGAUCCCCAAACGGCCAUGUGACGGCAGUCGGCAGCUCAGACUAAGGUGAGCACCAAGUGUGCAACAUGUCCCUGCUGUCUAUACUCCAGCUAUUUUCUAGAUUAGUUGGCUUUAGAUGAUUCUUGUGCAACCUAAGGACUUAUAAUGCUUCCACUAAGAUGGAAAAAAUAUAGCUGCAAGUACUUUGAGUCCUCAAGUAUUUUAUGUCAUCGUAUUUUUGGAGUAUUCUUAAUAGUUGAUCCGCGUCUACUUCCACCUGGUACCAUUUUGAAGCGCUGGACGCCGAAGGUCAGAGAUGAUGUCUUAAAUGGUGAUAACCAAAAUGAGGAUGUUUGUGAGUCCAUUGCAAGCCUACUACCACUUUUUUUUUUUUGCUUCACACUAGGUUUUAGAUCUGUAAUUUAGCAAUUUUUGUCCAUAAGUGUUCUUCAUAUUACUAAUGAAUGGCGAACAAGAUUCCUGUUUUUUGCUAUGUGCUUGCCUUAUUGCCAUGGGUAUUUCUUUCUAUUUUGUGAAUUGUGGAUGACGUAAUUCGCUUCCUAUGAACAAAUAUUUCAUAUGUACAUAUAAUUGUAUGCAGAUGGAGAACUCAAGUAAUCUUACCAUCUGAAUGUAACUUUUUUUUCCUUUUAGGAUAGAUAGUUACCUUUUUAUGCCCAACUCCUGAUUGAAUUGUGUUUGCUGAUGCAAGAUGGCCACCUCUCGCCACGUGCAUCACGUACGUCCAGUGGCAGUAGCCAGUAUUUGUUCAGGACUGACACCUCCUGAAGCCAUGGAUUCAACAUGAAAUGGUUGCUCAAUGUAUAAAUUUCAUUCAGCGGCAAUAUACUUCUCUGUGAGGUCAUGCUCUAAGGCCUGGACAGAAUUGUGAGGAAUGGUUAGUGCUGGCCUUAAGAAAAUUAAAUAGAUGUUCUUCUGAACUCAUUUCUCUCCAGGUAUGUUAUGAACCCCUUUGUAUUCUAUUUGUUAUUCUCUCACUUUCUUCACUCAGCGACCUGCCAUAUAAGAUACAUAAUUUCGUUACAAACUGUUGAUGCUGCUUUUAAGAAAAACAGAAAUUUAUUUUGUUCACAUUAAUUGAUAAUCUCAUUCAGGGAGAUGUGUUUCAUGCCACUAUAAUAUACCAUUUUAAACUAUGCAUGUGUACUCUACGCAAUAAAUUAUGAGUCUGUAGUUAGGACUAAUACAUACACUAUAUAAAAGUUGAACAGAUCAGCGCGCUCACAACGUUUUAGCUACUGUAGAUAUGGUAUUUAUCCACUCUUCCAUCCAGCCAUUGCCUGACAUGUAGCUCUCCCGUUUUUUUCCUCCAUCGUUUGCUCAGUUAGUUGCUUUUGGUCUUUUUUUUUUGCCAGAAGGGAAACAGGCAACCGGCUGUUGGCCUCUCUCCCUCCUUUCUACUGUGAAUCGUUUCCGGUUAUAUUUAUUACCUUCUGGUUGGGUUGGUCAAGGCGGUGGAUGUUAAAGCGGUGCCCUGGAUCCCCUUCUCUCCUCCUCCCUAUUGCCAUCGUCGCCCACAUUCUUCCCUAGGACCGGUGCCCUCUUCUCCCUCUCCGGCCGCUGUGUCAUCUACCUAGGCGGCUGAUGGUGUGGAGGAGGUUUUUGGGCCUUUCCGCUCCUCCCCGACGCGGAUGGCGAUGCGGCCCCAAAUCAACGCGAAUGGAUGGCCGCGAGGGUCCUGCGCUUGGUUGCUAGAGGGCUUCGACAGCCUGGUAGUUGGCCGCCAUAGCCACGGCUUGAUGCGUCGCGAUGCCGUACUGCUCUGCAGCAAGGUCUUGAUGAGCGGUGACGCCCUGUGGGGGACUUCAAAUGCAAGAUUCGAGGCUGCACAGGCACUGCCUGAGUCGCUGAGGGAUGUUGUUUUGCUUCCUCUUCAUCGUUUAACUCAUGGGACGUAUUUCCUUCCCUUCUAAUAAUUCUCUUUUUCCUUUCAUUCCUUUUCCUCCAUCUUAUUGAUUCCUUCUUUGUUUGUAUCUUUUUGGUCGCCCAGGUGUUGGCCUAGGUUGUUGUGGUCUCAGCAUCCAUUAUAAAGAUCAAUUUACAUUUGGUUUCUCCAUUCUUGAAAGUUGGAACUACGAUUUCUACCACCGUUCAUGUCAACCGAUACUAAAAAUAGUAUUUGCAUGGUAUAUGGAUCCAGCGACCUGGCAAAUUUUGUUUGAGUUCGACUUCAUUAUUAUUACAGGGAGGUACCUUCUAAAUAUUCAGACACUUCAUUUAGCUAUUGUCACUUAUAAAUACAGUGCAUACAACUAGCUUGAGAAUUCAUCUUAUCAUCUAUGAAUGCUCACUCCAAUAUCAAAGAACAGUUAGUAAACAUAUGUUUUUUUAACGACAUACGCACCUGCAUAUUGGCUUAUUGCACUUAUAUUUCAACUGACUGAUUUUCUGCAAUGUAACCAACCAAUGCUAGAUUUCCAUCUGUUUUAUAGUUACUUGCUAACAAUGUUUCAGGGCAACACAAUGGAAGGCUGUGACAUCUAAUCAAAUAUACAUGUGCAGAGAACAACUAAAGGAAGGUUUGAUCUACAUAUUUGAGUCUUUUUAUUGUAGCAGCAGCGCUAAACAAAUACAAGAUAACGCUUAUAUGAUCAAGAUUUCUCAAUCCACAAAGGUCAUCGAAGCCAUUACAGAGACUAAAAAAUUUCCUAUGUUCAUUUGAUGUUCUGCAGUCACGCGCAGGGAACAACACCGUUCUAUCAGAUGAUUGUUAAUGGAUAUCAUUUCAUAGAAGACGCAUUAAGAGCCAAGGAUGCAUAUUCGCUUAAAAGAUGCUAGGUGUUCCAAAGGUGUUGUUGGUGUUUUACAUCCAUUGCUGCACAGCUACAGGGCAUGCCUCCAGUGAUCUUUCAUGGUAAUUCAUAGAACAAAGUGUCACGAAGGAAGUGGCCGCGCUGGGUCCAAUGGAGUGGUAGUUCAUGCUGGUGGCGGUCCUCCUACUGGUGAUCAUUUUCCUAAAUUGAUUGGUAUGCAAGCUACCAAUUUUACUUCUCCUUCAAAGAACUCUGCUAUCCGGAGAGAUCAUUCAACCGCAGACAUAGUAGGCUUUAUUUAGCUAAAAGAACUAUGUAUCAAGAUCUCUGUUCUCUCUAUACCUUUUGAGUUAGUGUGCUCGAAACUGCCACUUUAUAAUGUUCUGCUGUAUCUGUGUGUUGCUGUAUAUAGUUGCCGUCAAUGAAUAUAUCAGAGACUUUCUCUUUUAUUUCAUCUUCUUCAUAUUA